AGAGUUUGAUCAUGGCUCAGGACGAACGCUGGCGGCGUGCUUAACACAUGCAAGUCGAACGGAAAGGCCUUUUCGGAGGUACUCGAGUGGCGAACGGGUGAGUAACACGUGGGUGAUCUGCCCUGCACUCUGGGAUAAGCCUGGGAAACUGGGUCUAAUACCGGAUAGGACUGCACUUUAGUGUGUGUGGUGGAAAGUUUUUUCGGUGUAGGAUGAGCCCGCGGCCUAUCAGCUUGUUGGUGGGGUAAUGGCCUACCAAGGCGGCGACGGGUAGCCGGACUGAGAGGUUGGUCGGCCACAUUGGGACUGAGAUACGGCCCAGACUCCUACGGGAGGCAGCAGUGGGGAAUAUUGCACAAUGGGCGCAAGCCUGAUGCAGCGACGCCGCGUGGGGGAUGACGGCCUUCGGGUUGUAAACUCCUUUCGCCAGGGACGAAGCGUUUUGUGACGGUACCUGGAGAAGAAGCACCGGCUAACUACGUGCCAGCAGCCGCGGUAAUUC
Molecule: ribosomal RNA, 502 nt
Filed under: uncultured bacterium
Lineage: Bacteria
Description: bacterial SSU rRNA
Rfam family: Bacterial small subunit ribosomal RNA
Source: RNAcentral